CGGAGUCUCGCUCUGUCGCCCAGGCUGGAGUGCAGUGGCGCGAUCUCGGCUCACUGCAAGCUCCGCCUCCCGGGUUCACGCCAUUCUCCUGCCUCAGCCUCCCGAGUAGCUGUACAAUUUCUUAUCUACUUUAAAUCAUGCUUGGCUGUAACACACUUUAACCAAUGAAAUGUGCCCAGAAACAACCUGGGUCAUUUCCAGGCAAAGGCUCCAAGAGCCAGCUCCCACAGUCACCACAACAUUCUGGAAAGUGGCUGUGGCAUCAUCCUGGAAACACAGGAAUGACAGCACAGAGAACCCCCCUGGAAUCAUCCACUUCUCCCUGGUAUCUCUUAUUGGAGAAUGAUAUUUUAAACAAACCUGUGAGAGUUGGUGUGCUCAUUGCCACUGGGAUGCUACUGCUUCUAGGUUCUUUCAGCAGGCAGAGAUAGGAUAUAUAUAUAUAUAUAUAUAUAUAUAUAUAUAUAUAUAUAUAAUUUUUCUUUCCAGGAGACAGGGUCUCACUUUGUUGCUCAGGCUGGAGUGCAGUGGCACGAACAUGGCUCACUGCAGCCUCAACCUUCUGGGCUCAAGUGAUCUUCCUGCCUCAGCCCCCAAGUAGCUGGGACUACAUGCGCGCACCACCACACCCAGCUAAGUUUU
This 642-nucleotide long non-coding RNA is filed under the name Pan troglodytes (chimpanzee). RNAcentral's name for it is "long non-coding RNA NONPTRT010465". Lineage: Eukaryota; Metazoa; Chordata; Mammalia; Primates; Hominidae. The record is from RNAcentral.